This is a non-coding RNA of Spirochaetes bacterium GWB1_48_6, 358 nucleotides long. Lineage: Bacteria; Pseudomonadati; Spirochaetota. The record is from Rfam.
UAUACAGGUCGAGUGAUCGCUCCGACGCAACGUCGGAGAGGAAAGUCCGGAUACCUCUCGCCUUAAGCGAGAACGUAGUGGGUAACACCCACCGCCACGACAUCGCGUCGGGACAGAGGUGCGAGCAGAGACGCUGGAAUGCGAAAGUAUUACAGCGCCCCAAGAUUUUCAAGGGGCGAGCCCUGAUGGCAACAUCGGGGGUGAAACGGCAAAAUCCUUACGGGGUACAAAACUCGUGCCCAACUUUUUGGACAGCUGAACAAAGAGUUGGGAGUGGUUGCUUGACCCCGACGGUAACGUCGGGGCUAGAUAAAUGAUCGCUUAGAAACAGAAUCCGGCUUACGAACCUAUCAAAAAC